UACGGAGGGUGCGAGCGUUGUCCGGAAUCAUUGGGCGUAAAGCGCGUGUAGGCGGCUCGAUAAGUCUGCUGUGAAAGUCCAGGGCUCAACCCUGGGAUGCCGGUGGAUACUGUCGAGCUCGAGUCCGGAAGAGGGGUGUGGAAUUCCUGGUGUAGCGGUGAAAUGCGCAGACAUCAGGAGGAACACCAAUGGCGAAGGCAGCACUCUGGGACGUGACUGACGCUGAGGUGCGAAAGCGUGGGGAGCAAACAGG
This 253-nucleotide ribosomal RNA is filed under the name uncultured bacterium. Its description in RNAcentral is "partial 16S ribosomal RNA". It matches the Rfam family "Bacterial small subunit ribosomal RNA", at positions 524 to 776 of the family's 1533-position model. The record is from RNAcentral.